GUUUUUAUAGUUUAAAUUUAAAACAUUGGUCUUGUAAACCAAAAAUAAGAAUAUUCUUUAUUAACU
RNAcentral lists this transfer RNA (66 nucleotides) under Pelopidas mathias (small branded swift). RNAcentral's name for it is "tRNA-Thr". The stretch from base 1 to 53 matches the Rfam family "tRNA". From Rfam's summary of the family: Transfer RNA (tRNA) molecules are approximately 80 nucleotides in length. Their secondary structure includes four short double-helical elements and three loops (D, anti-codon, and T loops). Lineage: Eukaryota; Metazoa; Arthropoda; Insecta; Lepidoptera; Hesperiidae. The record is from RNAcentral.